GGCGCACGGGUGCGUAACGCGUGGGAAUCUACCCUUAGGUUCGGAAUAACUCAGAGAAAUUUGAGCUAAUACCGGAUGAUGACGUAAGUCCAAAGAUUUAUCGCCUAAGGAUGAGCCCGCGUAGGAUUAGCUAGUUGGUGUGGUAAAAGCGCACCAAGGCGACGAUCCUUAGCUGGUCUGAGAGGAUGAUCAGCCACACUGGGACUGAGACACGGCCCAGACUCCUACGGGAGGCAGCAGUGGGGAAUAUUGGACAAUGGGCGAAAGCCUGAUCCAGCAAUGCCGCGUGAGUGAUGAAGGCCUUAGGGUUGUAAAGCUCUUUUACCCGGGAUGAUAAUGACAGUACCGGGAGAAUAAGCUCCGGCUAACUCCGUGCCAGCAGCCGCGGUAAUACGGAGGGAGCUAGCGUUGUUCGGAAUUACUGGGCGUAAAGCGUACGUAGGCGGCUUUGUAAGUAAGAGGUGAAAGCCUGGAGCUCAACUCCAGAACUGCCUUUUAGACUGCAUCGCUUGAAUCCAGGAGAGGUGAGUGGAAUUCCGAGUGUAGAGGUGAAAUUCGUAGAUAUUCGGAAGAACACCAGUGGCGAAGGCGGCUCACUGG
RNAcentral lists this ribosomal RNA (600 nucleotides) under Brevundimonas lenta. Its description in RNAcentral is "bacterial SSU rRNA". It matches the Rfam family "Bacterial small subunit ribosomal RNA", at positions 97 to 732 of the family's 1533-position model. The record is from RNAcentral. Lineage: Bacteria; Pseudomonadati; Pseudomonadota; Alphaproteobacteria; Caulobacterales; Caulobacteraceae.